GUUACACCCUCACGGUAUCUUGGGGACCAGUCCAUGACUAGGGCCAAAUGGUGCCGCCACUCAGUCAUACAGGGUAAACUGUUGGGAAUGUCCAACUGACAGCUUUUAGAACGUUCAAGAUUGUCCUUGGCCUUGGACGAUGCUAACUGGCUGCUGUGGAAGAGAACCAGGCAGCUCAGCCAAUCAGAUGCAAGAAUGAGAAGCAACUGACUGUAGGAGAGUGGGAAGAGAAAGUUUUAUCUUUUCCCAGUUGUUACCGUGCGGUGAAAAUUACAGAAGCGCAGAAGAACUGUGCAUGAUACCCAUGUCCCGUUUAAGUCUGUAGUGGGAGGGUGAAGGCAGGGUAUAAAGACUUGUGUUGGUUCUCUAUGCUGGGCUGUACUCUAUUCCCAGUGUGUAGUGGGAAGGAGAAUUUACAGAAGCAAGAGGGAAAUGCCUCAGGGAAAGUAAGUGAUCCCUUGAGGCUCUCGUGAUUUGGGGUUGAUGUGGCUCCUUCUAUUUUUUAAAAUCAGAGAGCUCUCUUGCAGCCUGCUUUGCUGGUGGUGGCUUCUUCAGAUGCUUCUCCCUCUCUAGUCUGACUAGCCAACUUUGCAUUCAUCUAUAGUGCUUCCCUUUUCUGUACCAAGGAGAAAGUUCAAGCAAGCAAGAAGCAGACAAGCACCUAUGAACCGCAUUGCACCUCACACCUAUCUGGAAAGCACCGUCACCACUCCUAUGGAAUACAAUUGGAAUGUAGCAUAUGCAUUGCAAGACAAUUCCUUUCGCGGGGUGAGGGGGAGAGGAAUAUACUUGUGUGUAGCAAUUGUGUUAACCUGAGCUAUGGGCGGAGCUAUUAUGUAAUCUCUUAGACUAUUGGCUUACUGUGCUCAUAUGCCUUACUGCUAGAACCUAUCCAUGGGCUUGGGAACUCCUACCCCAUCUCUUCUCUCCACUCAUCAGCUCCCUAUAUAGUCUAUUGUAAUUAUUUGCUUGGCAGUGUUUGCCAAGCAAAUUGGCAAGGUGAUACUCUGCCAGCGCUGUGCGUAAU
Molecule: non-coding RNA, 1027 nt
Organism: Pelodiscus sinensis (Chinese soft-shelled turtle)
Lineage: Eukaryota; Metazoa; Chordata; Testudines; Trionychidae
Source: RefSeq, a predicted model, not a curated record